This 497-nucleotide ribosomal RNA is filed under the name uncultured bacterium. RNAcentral's name for it is "partial 16S ribosomal RNA". It matches the Rfam family "Bacterial small subunit ribosomal RNA", at positions 28 to 507 of the family's 1533-position model. The record is from RNAcentral.
GACGAACGCUGGCGGCGUGCCUAAUACAUGCAAGUUGAGCGCCGAAGGUUGGUACUUGUACCAACUGGAUGAGCAGCGAACGGGUGAGUAACGCGUGGGGAAUCUGCCUUUGAGCGGGGGACAACAUUUGGAAACGAAUGCUAAUACCGCAUAAAAACUUUAAACACAAGUUUUAAGUUUGAAGGAUGCAAUUGCAUCACUCAAAGAUGAUCCCGCGUUGUAUUAGCUAGUUGGUGAGGUAAAGGCUCACCAAGGCGAUGAUACAUAGCCGACCUGAGAGGGUGAUCGGCCACAUUGGGACUGAGACACGGCCCAAACUCCUACGGGAGGCAGCAGUAGGGAAUCUUCGGCAAUGGACGAAAGUCUGACCGAGCAACGCCGCGUGAGUGAAGAAGGUUUUCGGAUCGUAAAACUCUGUUGGUAGAGAAGAACGUUGGUGAGAGUGGAAAGCUCAUCAAGUGACGGUAACUACCCAGAAAGGGACGGCUAACUACGUG